RNAcentral lists this ribosomal RNA (494 nucleotides) under uncultured bacterium. RNAcentral's name for it is "bacterial SSU rRNA". It matches the Rfam family "Bacterial small subunit ribosomal RNA", at positions 63 to 543 of the family's 1533-position model. The record is from RNAcentral.
CGAACGAGAAAGCCCUUCGGGGUGAGUAAAGUGGCGAACGGGUGAGUAACACGUGGGCAACCUGCCCCUCGCAGGGGGACAACCGGAGGAAACUCCGGCUAAUACCCCGUACGUUCCCAGGGUCGCAUGGCUCCUGGGAGGAAAGGUAGCUUCGGCCAUCCGGCGAGGGAUGGGCCCGCGGUGCAUUAGCUAGUUGGUGGGGUAACGGCUCACCAAGGCAACGAUGCAUAGCUGGUCUGAGAGGAUGAUCAGCCACACUGGGACUGAGACACGGCCCAGACUCCUACGGGAGGCAGCAGCCAGGAAUCUUGGGCAAUGGGCGCAAGCCUGACCCAGCAACACCGUGUGGGCGAUGAAGGCCUUCGGGUCGUAAAGCCCUGUUGAUAGGGACGAAGGGCGAAGGGUUAAUAGCCCCUAGCCUGACGGUACCUUUCGAGGAAGCCCCGGCUAACUACGUGCCAGCAGCCGCGGUAAUACGUAGGGGGCGAGCGUUG